Molecule: ribosomal RNA, 495 nt
Filed under: uncultured bacterium
Lineage: Bacteria
Description: partial 16S ribosomal RNA
Rfam family: Bacterial small subunit ribosomal RNA
Source: RNAcentral
GACGAACGCUGGCGGCGUGCCUAAUACAUGCAAGUAGAACGCUGAAGGAGGAGCUUGCUUCUCCGGAUGAGUUGCGAACGGGUGAGUAACGCGUAGGUAACCUGCCUGGUAGCGGGGGAUAACUAUUGGAAACGAUAGUUAAUACCGCAUAACAGUAGAUAUUGCAUGAUAUCUUCUUGAAAGGUGCAAUUGCAUCACUACCAGAUGGACCUGCGUUGUAUUAGCUAGUUGGUGAGGUAACGGCUCACCAAGGCGAAGAUACAUAGCCGACCUGAGAGGGUGAGGGGACACACUGGGACUGAGACACGGCCCAGACGCAUACGGGAGGCAGCAGUAGGGAAUCGUCGGAAAUGGACGGAAGUCUGACCGAGCAACGCCGAGGGAGUGAAGAAGGUUUUCGGAUCGUAAAGCUCUGUUGUAAGAGAAGAACGAGUGUGAGAGUGGAAAGUUCACACUGUGACGGUAUCUGACCAGAAAGGGACGGCUAACUACGUG